This 1324-nucleotide unclassified non-coding RNA is filed under the name Caenorhabditis elegans. RNAcentral describes it as "Non-coding transcript of protein-coding gene rpl-3". Lineage: Eukaryota; Metazoa; Nematoda; Chromadorea; Rhabditida; Rhabditidae. The record is from RNAcentral.
GUCUCACCGAAAGUUUUCGGCCCCGAGACAUGGACACAUGGGAUUCACCCCAAAGAAGCGCUCCCGCACUUACCGUGGAAGAAUCAAGGCUUUCCCAAAGGAUGACAAGAGCAAGCCAAUCCAUUUGACCGCUUUCCUCGGAUACAAGGCCGGUAUGACCCAUAUCGUCCGUGAUGUCGAUAAGCCAGGAUCAAAGGUUAACAAGAAGGAGGUUGUCGAAGCCGUCACCAUCGUCGAGACCCCACCAAUGGUUAUUGCUGGAGUUACCGGAUACGUCGACACCCCACAAGGACCACGUGCUCUUACCACCAUCUGGGCCGAGCACUUGUCCGAGGAAGCUCGUCGUCGCUUCUACAGCAACUGGUGCGUUUCUAAGUCGGUUGCCUUCCGCUGUACUUAUGUACAUGAUGGUAAACGAACUGAGUGGCUAAAGCGUCCUGUACGCUGAAAGGCAUUUUGUUCGUAAUCGUAGAAACUACAGGGCUAAAUCCAAGAAGAAGGCUUUCACCAAGUACGCCAAGAAGUGGCAAGAUGAGGAUGGAAAGAAGCUCAUCGAGGCUGAUUUCGCCAAGCUGAAGAAGUACUGCUCUUCUAUCCGUGUGAUCGCUCACACUCAGGUGAAGAUCCUUCGCCGUCGCCAAAAGAAGGCUCACCUCGUCGAAAUCCAAGUCAACGGAGGAACCAUCGAGCAGAAGGUCGACUGGGCUCGCGAGCAUCUCGAGAAACAAGUCCAGGUUGAUACCGUCUUCGCUCAGGAUGAGAUGAUUGACACCAUCGGAGUUACCAGAGGUCACGGAUUCAAGGGAGUCACCAGCAGAUGGCACACCAAGAAGCUUCCUCGCAAGACGCACAAGGGUCUCCGCAAGGUCGCCUGUAUUGGAGCUUGGCAUCCAUCUCGUGUCGCCUUCACUGUCGCUCGUGCUGGACAAAAGGGAUUCCAUCACCGUACCAUCAUCAACAACAAGAUCUACCGUAUUGGAAAGUCUGCUCUCACUGAGGAAGGAAAGAACAACGGAUCCACCGAGUUCGAUCUUACCCAGAAGACCAUCACCCCAAUGGUAGGAUUCCCAAGAUACGGUAUCGUCAACCAGGACUACAUCAUGCUUCGUGGAGCCGUUCUCGGACCAAAGAAGCGUCUUAUCACCCUCCGCAAGUCGCUCAUCACCCAAACCAAGAGAGUCGCCCACGAGAAGAUCAACCUCAAGUGGAUCGACACCAGUUCCAAGACCGGACACGGUCGCUUCCAAACCACAGCCGAGAAGCGUGCUUUCAUGGGAAAACUCAAGAGAGAUUUCCUUGCCGAGGCCGAAGCUAAGGCUUAAAU